Molecule: small RNA, 27 nt
Filed under: Bombyx mori (domestic silkworm)
Lineage: Eukaryota; Metazoa; Arthropoda; Insecta; Lepidoptera; Bombycidae
Description: ovarian small RNA-2847
Source: RNAcentral
UAACAGCCUGCAGUCCUUGACUUCUUC